RNAcentral lists this ribosomal RNA (464 nucleotides) under uncultured bacterium. RNAcentral describes it as "partial 16S ribosomal RNA". It matches the Rfam family "Bacterial small subunit ribosomal RNA", at positions 28 to 507 of the family's 1533-position model. The record is from RNAcentral.
GACGAACGCUGGCGGCGUGCUUAACACAUGCAAGUCGAACGGAAAGGCCCCUUUGGGGUACUCGAGUGGCGAACGGGUGAGUAACACGUGAGUAACCUGCCCUUGACUUCGGGAUAACUUCAGGAAACUGGGGCUAAUACCGGAUAGGAAUCCUUGCUGCAUGGUGGGGGUUGGAAAGCUUCGGCGGUUUUGGAUGGACUCGCGGCUUAUCAGCUUGUUGGUGGGGUAGUGGCUUACCAAGGCUUUGACGGGUAGCCGGCCUGAGAGGGCGACCGGCCACAUUGGGACUGAGAUACGGCCCAGACUCCUACGGGAGGCAGCAGUGGGGAAUAUUGCACAAUGGGCGGAAGCCUGAUGCAGCAACGCCGCGUGCGGGAUGACGGCCUUCGGGUUGUAAACCGCUUUCAGCAGGGGCGAAGCUUGUGGUGACGUUACCUGCAGAAGAAGCACCGGCUAACUCCGUG